UGAGCAGAAUGUGAGGUGGUGGAUGG
This 26-nucleotide non-coding RNA is filed under the name Mus musculus (house mouse). The record is from RNAcentral. Lineage: Eukaryota; Metazoa; Chordata; Mammalia; Rodentia; Muridae.